AACGAGCGAGAGAGAGCUUGCUUUCUCGAGCGAGUGGCGAACGGGUGAGUAACGCGUGAGGAACCUGCCUUUCAGUGGGGGACAACAGUUGGAAACGACUGCUAAUACCGCAUAAAGUGUUUUGGGGGCAUCCCCGGAACACCAAAGAUUUAUUGCUGAAAGAUGGCCUCGCGUCUGAUUAGAUAGUUGGUGGGGUAACGGCCUACCAAGUCGACGAUCAGUAGCCGGACUGAGAGGUUGAACGGCCACAUUGGGACUGAGACACGGACCAGACUCC
Molecule: ribosomal RNA, 277 nt
Filed under: uncultured Oscillospiraceae bacterium
Lineage: Bacteria; Bacillati; Bacillota; Clostridia; Eubacteriales; Oscillospiraceae
Description: partial 16S ribosomal RNA
Rfam family: Bacterial small subunit ribosomal RNA
Source: RNAcentral